GACGAACGCUGGCGGCGUGCUUAACACAUGCAAGUCGAACGGAAAGGCCCUGCUUGCAGGGUACUCGAGUGGCGAACGGGUGAGUAACACGUGGGUGAUCUGCCCUGCACUUCGGGAUAAGCUUGGGAAACUGGGUCUAAUACCGGAUAGGAACCAUCUUUAGUGUGGUGGUUGGAAAGUUUUUUCGGUGUAGGAUGAGCUCGCGGCCUAUCAGCUUGUUGGUGGGGUAAUGACCUACCAAGGCGGCGACGGGUAGCCGGCCUGAGAGGGUGUACGGCCACAUUGGGACUGAGAUACGGCCCAGACUCCUACGGGAGGCAGCAGUGGGGAAUAUUGCACAAUGGGCGCAAGCCUGAUGCAGCGACGCCGCGUGGGGGAUGAAGGCCUUCGGGUUGUAAACUCCUUUCGCUAGGGACGAAGCUUUGUUGUGACGGUACCUAGAUAAGAAGCACCGGCUAACUACGUG
This 466-nucleotide ribosomal RNA is filed under the name uncultured bacterium. RNAcentral describes it as "partial 16S ribosomal RNA". It matches the Rfam family "Bacterial small subunit ribosomal RNA", at positions 28 to 507 of the family's 1533-position model. The record is from RNAcentral.